Chrysemys picta bellii (western painted turtle) is the source of this 768-nucleotide non-coding RNA. The record is from RefSeq and is a predicted model, not a curated record. Lineage: Eukaryota; Metazoa; Chordata; Testudines; Emydidae.
AAAACAAUUAUAUCAAUUGGAGGAGUCAUGUGCCCAGGAAAUAUGUUUUGUAACUAAUUAAGACCUCGAGCAAAAGGAUGUCUCAAACUCUCUGGGCGGUUUAAGAAACUGUAUAAAAGUGCUCGCGACUCAGGGUUCUUUAACCACUUCUCUUGACUUAUCCUCCUUGGUAACCUUGGUUAACCUCCAGCGCAGAAAGAUGACUUUCGACGAACUCAUGAAUGAGGAAUUGUAUUAUAACCCCUACUGUUACAAGGGCUGGCGCGGCUAUAGAGGCCAUUAUGGCUGCUAUAGGCCCUGGGGUUACCAGAGGCCAUACAGGUAUGGGUGGGGCCAUCAGUAUGAUUGCCACUACCCUUACCGAUGGGGCCAUGGGUACGGCUAUGGAAAGUUCUGGCCAUGUUUCGCCGAGGAGCAAUAGACCUGGAACAAGGAACAACCAGGAAACGUAAAGCGAGUUACGGAAUCACGGCUGGCCUCACGGGUAAUGGCUUUCGGAAAUGCUGAUGGCGCACAACUCCCAUGGGAGCCGUGAGUCCUCAGCACCUCCGUAAAUCUGCCCAGUAUCUUUAUUGCCCAAGUUACACUUUAUGACUUUUUCCUCUAUUGUCUACCACAACUUCUGGUGUGAAAUGCGUCACCUUCUAACGGGUGAUUUGUUAACGACUUUCUCGAAACCCGGGAAAUAUUUUCUUUUUACUCUGCUACUUCCCAUCUCCUCCUGUGUACUUCUCAUCGUUUUCACAUUAAACUGAUUCUGUCUCCUAA